Long non-coding RNA from Carcharodon carcharias (great white shark), 347 nucleotides. RefSeq lists it as uncharacterized. NCBI's taxonomy places the organism in Eukaryota, Metazoa, Chordata, Chondrichthyes, Lamniformes, Lamnidae. The record is from RefSeq and is a predicted model, not a curated record. The transcript is spliced from 3 exons.
AGUGACCAAUGGGGAGAGUUGGAGGACCGGAAGGACCUGGUCCUUCAGCAAUCAGAGCGUGGCCUUGGUGUGAAUGAAGAUUGAAAUUCACACAGACUAAAACUUCCUCCUGUGUCCAACAUCUGACAGCCUGUGGGAAACUGAUCCUGGGAGUCUCCAGAGAGAGUUUGAGUGAUUUAAGUGGGACUGCAAGGCAGUGAGUUGGCCAGCAGAGAGAUAAUGUUGUGACUGAACAAAAAGUUGCUGUUAGAAGAGGAGGAUUUCCAGACAGAAAUCUCAAACCAAACAUCAAGAUCUGACAGUCGUUCAGUUCAUCACGACCUGAAUAUCAUCAGCCUUUGAAUCUC